AAUCACGUGAUGAGAAAAAAAAAACUGCAACAAUAUGAUGGAUUCGUCCAUGAUUCAUAAUUUUUUAUCUAAUUCUCUGAUGAUU
This is a small nucleolar RNA of Vicia villosa (hairy vetch), 85 nucleotides long. RefSeq annotates it as small nucleolar RNA Z199. The record is from RefSeq and is a predicted model, not a curated record. Lineage: Eukaryota; Viridiplantae; Streptophyta; Magnoliopsida; Fabales; Fabaceae. The transcript has a single exon.